RNAcentral lists this non-coding RNA (30 nucleotides) under Mus musculus (house mouse). Lineage: Eukaryota; Metazoa; Chordata; Mammalia; Rodentia; Muridae. The record is from RNAcentral.
UCAGUUACGAGAUUGCCAAGGAGAAGGGUC